This 29-nucleotide small RNA is filed under the name Bombyx mori (domestic silkworm). RNAcentral describes it as "ovarian small RNA-16783". The record is from RNAcentral. Lineage: Eukaryota; Metazoa; Arthropoda; Insecta; Lepidoptera; Bombycidae.
GCGACAAAGAAGGAAUGACCCUCCGUGUC